GUGGACGCCAUGUUGUCUCAUUCUGUUUAAGACUUUUACUAAAACAGAUCUUGCAGGUGCUCAACAGGAAAUCAUGUGUCUGAUUUUCAGUCGAGCUGAAAGCCAUGAAACUCAUUCUGCGGUGGAUUUUUUGCUUCAGUUUAGGUUUUGUCACUGAUUGCCAAGUGAAUCGUUAUGGAUUGAAAGGAAGCUCAAUCCGUCUGAGCAUCAGUCCCAGAAAUCAGUCACUAACUAAUGUUGGAUGGCAACGAUUCAACAGGAAAGAGGUGCUCACAGACUCAAAUGACGUUUCCCCUCAUUUUGAGAAAAGAAUGAGCCUAAACGUCUCAGACAUGUCUUUGACCAUACACGACCUGGAGGAAAAUGACAGUGGACUGUAUGAAGCCCUUAAGAAGUGGGAGGUUGAACCUCUGGCUGCAUUCACACUUACAGUGGAGAGUAAGAUAUGCAUCUCAUGUACACUGCAUGCUUAUAACAUGAUAUAUACUUCAGCAUCUCAGCUCAGAUGUUGCUGCUAACUCAUCUGUGGUGUUUUUCCAGACACUGUCUCUAAGCCUGUAAUCAGAGUGGAUCAACAUGACUUUAAUUCGUCUGCUGAAGUGUGUCGGGCUGCAGUGAACUGUUCAGCUGAUGGCAGCUGGGCCACGUUUGACUGCCACCAAAAUGUCUGUACAAAGAUACAAUCCUCUCCAUUCUCCAUUAACAUCACUGUCACUGCACUGGACAGCAGCGGCAUCAAAUGCAACGUCAACAACAACUAGGUCAUAAAUAGAACUGAACUCGUGUCAAACAUGCAAAUGAACAGGAAGACUUUUGAGUUUGAGAGUGGAAACUGUUGCAUCUCAUCCUGUUCAAGACACUUACUACAACAUAUCUUGCAGGUGCUCAACAGGAAAUCUGGUGUCUUAUUUUCAGUCGAGCUGAAAGCCAUGAAACUCAUUCUGCGGUGGAUUUUUUGCUUCAGUUUAGGUUUUGUCACUGAUUGCCAAGUGAAUCGUUAUGGAUUGAAAGGAAGCUCAAUCCGUCUGAGCAUCAGUCCCAGAAAUCAGUCACUAACUAAUGUUGGAUGGCAACGAUUCAACAGGAAAGAGGUGCUUACAGACGCAAAAGAAGUUUCCCCUCAUUUUAAGAAAAGAAUGAUCCUAAACGUCUCAGACUGGUCUUUGACCAUACACAACCUUGAGGAAAAUGACAGUGGACUGUAUGAAGCCAUUAAGAAGUGGGAGGUUGAACCUCUGGCUGCAUUCACACUUACAGUGGAGAGCACUGUCUCUAAGCCUGUAAUCAGAGUGGAUCAACAUGACUUUAAUUCGUCUGCUGAAGUGUGUCGGGCCGCAGUGAACUGUUCAGCUGAUGGCAGCUGGGCCACGUUUGACUGCCACCAAAAUGUCUGUACAAAGAUACGAUCCUCUCCAUUCUCCAUUAACAUCACUGUCACUGCACUGGACAGCAGUGGCAUCAAAUGCAACGUCAACAACAACGUGAGCAUGAAUCAUUCUCAGACUCCCUUUACGUGCCAUGAAAAGCAGAAAAGUGAUUAUCGUUUUCUCCCAUCGCUCAUCUUCUGGAUCGUUGGCACCGUUUGUGGUGGUGUUUUGUUGGGUUUGGUUAUGGGUGGGAUUGUAGCAUUUGUCAAGAGAAGAAAAUGUUCAAAAGUUCAUCCACAGUCCAGUCGUGUUGUGAUUGAACAGCAUCAUGAAACAAUUUACUGCACCGUGGAAAAGCCGGCCACAUCCCAGACACAUCCAGGAAACAACACUGUCAGCAACAAAGUAGAAACCAUCUACGACACUCCAUCACGACAUACCAAGGCUUGUCAAGUAGACAGUGUGGAGGUGAUGAGAGACAAUCAGGAGCAACAGCAAUCUGGACAAGACAGAACUAUUCAAGUAAAAGCUACAGUUCACCAGGCAGCAGAACCCGAUUCAGAUCCAAUAAACACUGUUUACUGUAAACUGGGAGAGAUAUGACACAAACACAUACUGAGACGUCACUUCAGUGGAGAUUUAAAUGUAAUUUAAUAUAAAUUCUGUGUUUUUUUUUUUUACUAGUGAAUAGAUGGGUUUAAGCAUCAUUGAUGGAGACAAUACACACUGUAUGCUGCCUACUAUUUUUUGAAACAGUAUAUGCAAUACAUUCUUAAAAAUAAAUGUUCAAAAAUUGUUUUUUGUAGUGAUGCAAUAGAA
This is a long non-coding RNA of Cyprinus carpio carpio, 2186 nucleotides long. The record is from Ensembl. NCBI's taxonomy places the organism in Eukaryota, Metazoa, Chordata, Actinopteri, Cypriniformes, Cyprinidae.